GGUAUAGCUGGUCCAUCAGCCGUGGUAAUACGGAGGGUGCAAGGGUUAAGCGGAAUUACUGUGCGUAAAGCGCGCGGAGGUGGUUCAGUAAGAAGGGGGUGAAAUCCCCUGGCUUAACCUGGGAACUGCUUUCAUAACUGCUGAGCUAGAGUACGGUAGAGGGUAGUGGAAUUUCCUGUGUAGCGGUGAAAUGCGUAGAUAUAGGAAGGAACACCAGUGGCGAAGGCGACUACCUGGACUGAUACUGACACUGAGGUGCGAAAGCGUGGGGAGCAAACAGGAUUAGAUACCCUAGUAGUG
RNAcentral lists this ribosomal RNA (300 nucleotides) under uncultured Aequorivita sp. Its description in RNAcentral is "bacterial SSU rRNA". It matches the Rfam family "Bacterial small subunit ribosomal RNA", at positions 496 to 795 of the family's 1533-position model. The record is from RNAcentral. Lineage: Bacteria; Pseudomonadati; Bacteroidota; Flavobacteriia; Flavobacteriales; Flavobacteriaceae.